UGAAAGUUUGAUCUUUGCUUAGAUUCUUUGUUAAAAAAAUAUUUUACAUGUAAGUAAAAGCGUUAGAUAUAUGUUCCUAAGUUAAUUUUGUAGAUAUGGGUCUCAGUAUAUGUUUUUAGUUAUUAAAGUAAGCUUUGAUUUAGUAAUUUUUGUUGUUUCAGGUUAAAUUUGUGCCAGCAGCCGCGGUUAGACUGAAAGGAAAAUAAAGAUAUAAUAGAAAAUAAUUAUAAUUAGUUAUUUCACAACAAUUUUAUAUUAUAAGAUCAUAAAGGUAAAAUUUUAAUAUUAAGUAAUUUAUAAUUUAAGUGAAGUUUUUAGAAGUUAUGAAAAUCUUGAUUUAAACCAGGAUUAGAUACCCUGUUAUACAAGAGUUGAAAAUAAAAUUACUUGGGUAGUGUGAAGUUAUGAGCUUUAAACUUAAAAGAUUUGGCGGUAUUUAAGUCUAGUUAGGGGAACCUGUUCUGUAAACGAUAUGCCACGAAUAAUCUUACUUUACUUGGUUUAUCAGUAUGUAUACCGCCAUCAUAGAUAGUUUUUUAAAAAAAUUAUUGGAAUAAAAAUUUUUAGAAUUUUAGGUCAAGGUGCAGCUAAUAGUAAAGUAGUUAUGGGUUACAAUAUAAUAUAUAUAUAUACUAAUAAAUUCUUGAAAGAGAUUUUUGAGGGUGGACUUAAUAGUAAUUUUUUUUUAAUAAGAAAAGAUGAUAAAAGCUCUAAAAUAUGUACACAUCGCCCGUCGCUCUCUCCCUAAAGUGAGAUAAGUCGUAACAUAGUCGUUGUAUUGGAAAAUGCAGCGGGGAUUUG
RNAcentral lists this non-coding RNA (801 nucleotides) under Palaemon capensis. The record is from RNAcentral. Lineage: Eukaryota; Metazoa; Arthropoda; Malacostraca; Decapoda; Palaemonidae.